UACAGAGGGUGCGAGCGUUGUCCGGAAUCACUGGGCGUAAAGGGCGCGUAGGUGGCGACCCAAGUCAAUGGUGAAAGCUCGAUGCUCAACAUCGAGUCGGCCACUGAUACUGGGUUGCUCGAGCACUGUAGAGGCAGAUGGAAUUCCGGGUGUAGCGGUGGAAUGCGUAGAGAUCCGGAAGAACACCGGUGGCGAAGGCGGUGAGCUGGGCAGUUGCUGACACUGAGGCGCGACAGCGUGGGGAGCAAACAGG
RNAcentral lists this ribosomal RNA (253 nucleotides) under uncultured bacterium. RNAcentral's name for it is "partial 16S ribosomal RNA". It matches the Rfam family "Bacterial small subunit ribosomal RNA", at positions 524 to 776 of the family's 1533-position model. The record is from RNAcentral.